RNAcentral lists this ribosomal RNA (919 nucleotides) under uncultured bacterium. RNAcentral's name for it is "bacterial SSU rRNA". It matches the Rfam family "Bacterial small subunit ribosomal RNA", at positions 541 to 1472 of the family's 1533-position model. The record is from RNAcentral.
UUAUCCGGAUUCAUUGGGUUUAAAGGGUGCGCAGGCGGAUUGGUAAGUCAGGGGUGAAAUCCCACAGCUCAACUGUGGAACUGCCUUUGAUACUGUCAGUCUAGAGUAUAGUUGAAGUUGGCGGAAUGUGUCAUGUAGCGGUGAAAUGCUUAGAUAUGACACAGAACACCGAUCGCGAAGGCAGCUAGCUAAGCUAUAACUGACGCUCAUGCACGAAAGCGUGGGGAUCAAACAGGAUUAGAUACCCUGGUAGUCCACGCUGUAAACGAUGAUUACUCGAUGUUGGCGAUACACAGUCAGCGUCUGAGCGAAAGCAAUAAGUAAUCCACCUGGGGAGUACGAUCGCAAGAUUGAAACUCAAAGGAAUUGACGGGGGCCCGCACAAGCGGAGGAGCAUGUGGUUUAAUUCGAUGAUACGCGAGGAACCUUACCUGGGCUCGAACGUAAGAUGACUGUAGGUGAAAGCUUACAUCUCUUCGGAGCAUUUUACGAGGUGCUGCAUGGUUGUCGUCAGCUCGUGCCGUGAGGUGUCGGGUUAAGUCCCAUAACGAGCGCAACCCCUACCUUUAGUUGCCAUCAGGUCAUGCUGGGGACUCUAAAGGAACUGCCUACGCAAGUAGUGAGGAAGGCGGGGAUGACGUCAAAUCAGCACGGCCCUUACGUCCAGGGCUACACACGUGCUACAAUGGCCGGUACAGAGGGCAGCUACCUGGUGACAGGAUGCAAAUCUCCAAAGCCGGUCUCAGUUCGGAUCGGAGUCUGCAACCCGACUCCGUGAAGUUGGAUUCGCUAGUAAUCGCGCAUCAGCCAUGGCGCGGUGAAUACGUUCCCGGGCCUUGUACACACCGCCCGUCAAGCCAUGGAAGCUGGGGGGACCUAAAGUCGAUAACCGCAAGGAGUCGCCUAGGGUAAAACCAGU